This 432-nucleotide ribosomal RNA is filed under the name uncultured bacterium. Its description in RNAcentral is "bacterial SSU rRNA". It matches the Rfam family "Bacterial small subunit ribosomal RNA", at positions 917 to 1350 of the family's 1533-position model. The record is from RNAcentral.
GGGCCCGCACAAGCGGUGGAGUAUGUGGUUUAAUUCGAUGCAACGCGAAGAACCUUACCAGGGUUUGACAUCCUGCGAAUCUCUUGGAAACGAGAGAGUGCCUUCGGGAGCGCAGUGACAGGUGGUGCAUGGCUGUCGUCAGCUCGUGUCGUGAGAUGUUGGGUUAAGUCCCGCAACGAGCGCAACCCACGUCUUUAGUUGCCAGCAUUGAGUUGGGCACUCUAGAGAGACCGCCGGUGAUAAACCGGAGGAAGGUGUGGAUGACGUCAAGUCAUCAUGCCCCUUACAUCCUGGGCUACACACGUACUACAAUGCUACGGACAAAGGGCAGCAAACUCGCGAGAGCUAGCAAAUCCCAUAAACCGUGGCUCAGUUCAGAUCGUAGGCUGCAACUCGCCUACGUGAAGGAGGAAUCGCUAGUAAUCGCAGGUC